UGGCUCAGGAUGAACGCUGGCGGCGUGCCUAAUACAUGCAAGUCGAGCGAACGGACGAGAAGCUUGCUUCUCUGAUGUUAGCGGCGGACGGGUGAGUAACACGUGGAUAACCUACCUAUAAGACUGGGAUAACUUCGGGAAACCGGAGCUAAUACCGGAUAAUAUUUUGAACCGCAUGGUUCAAAAGUGAAAGACGGUCUUGCUGUCACUUAUAGAUGGAUCCGCGCUGCAUUAGCUAGUUGGUAAGGUAACGGCUUACCAAGGCAACGAUGCAUAGCCGACCUGAGAGGGUGAUCGGCCACACUGGAACUGAGACACGGUCCAGACUCCUACGGGAGGCAGCAGUAGGGAAUCUUCCGCAAUGGGCGAAAGCCUGACGGAGCAACGCCGCGUGAGUGAUGAAGGUCUUCGGAUCGUAAAACUCUGUUAUUAGGGAAGAACAUAUGUGUAAGUAACUGUGCACAUCUUGACGGUACCUAAUCAGAAAGCCACGGCUAACUACGUGCCAGCAGCCGCGGUAAUACGUAGGUGGCAAGCGUUAUCCGGAAUUAUUGGGCGUAAAGCGCGCGUAGGCGGUUUUUUAAGUCUGAUGUGAAAGCCCACGGCUCAACCGUGGAGGGUCAUUGGAAACUGGAAAACUUGAGUGCAGAAGAGGAAAGUGGAAUUCCAUGUGUAGCGGUGAAAUGCGCAGAGAUAUGGAGGAACACCAGUGGCGAAGGCGACUUUC
RNAcentral lists this ribosomal RNA (727 nucleotides) under Staphylococcus aureus. Its description in RNAcentral is "bacterial SSU rRNA". It matches the Rfam family "Bacterial small subunit ribosomal RNA", at positions 20 to 729 of the family's 1533-position model. Lineage: Bacteria; Bacillati; Bacillota; Bacilli; Caryophanales; Staphylococcaceae. The record is from RNAcentral.